This is a long non-coding RNA of Papaver somniferum (opium poppy), 3159 nucleotides long. RefSeq lists it as uncharacterized. The transcript has 9 exons. The record is from RefSeq and is a predicted model, not a curated record. NCBI's taxonomy places the organism in Eukaryota, Viridiplantae, Streptophyta, Magnoliopsida, Ranunculales, Papaveraceae.
UGCGUCGUUCUUCAACAGCAGAAUACCAGCGUCGCUUAUCAACAGCAGCAAUAAGAUUGAAGACGUGCGCGUGCGACUCGUGAGUGUGGCUACCCACACUUUCAAGCUGACUCGGUUUCAGCCCAUUCAGACAGUCAGCUUCAAAACUGACUCAGUAAUCGAGCUAAGCGAGUAUUUUCCUCUGCACCAAUUACUAAGCGAUAUAGUUUAAUAUCUCUUAAGACAGCUGACGGGAUCAACAUUUUGAUUCAAGGCCCUAUCUCGUUCUCAGGAAAAUGGGUUUUCUCCAGAGGUUUGCAGUCGUUUCAUUGUGGGGUUUCCAUUUGGCUGGGAGGAUGUUGCUGAUCAAUGCUUGGACCAACAUCUGCUGGUGAUGGUGCUCCAGCUAGUAUGUCUUUCUUUCCCGAGUCAAAAGAAGUGCCGACUUCUCUUUCCAACAAGAAGACGUUCACUAACAUGAAAAGUGAAGAACCGGAAGAUCUUAGUUGCAGUUAUGAUACUGGUAUGGAUGAAGUUGUAAAAGAUGCUCCAGUAUCUACAAAUUCUGAUGUGAAAAAUGCUGAUCCAAAUGAGGCCAAUGUUGCUGUUCCAGUGGGCAUCCUGAGAGUACAAAGUUGGCUAAAGCCAAAGGUGGAGUUAAAAAAGGUAAAGUAGGUCGGAAGAAGAAGGGAACAAAUUCAUGUUCUAUUUCUGGGUCUGCUGGCUGUGGAGUUGUACAAGUCCAUCUCAAAGAGGAUAUAGGUCAUGUUUCUGAAGGAAAACUGGAAAGAUCUGUGUCAGAAACGCCCAUUGCAGCCAGUCAUAGUGUGCAAGAAAGAUCUGGAAGUUGCAAUUCUAGCACAACCAGGACCACGGCUAUCUCACUCUCCUUCGCUGCAGUUUCCUGCCAUUCCAGUCCUUGAAUUUCUCCUUCUUGCUGCGACACCGAAACACACAAUCAGCUCCAGCCCCCAUAUCUCAGCACACAGCACUGCUGCAUUCCAUUGUUCUCUGUUAAGCUUCAUUCCAUCACCGCGAACAUCGAACUCAUUUCAGUCCCUUGUUUCGCACCACCACCACCAUCACCAGUACCAUUUAGUUCAAGCAACAACAUCUCAAUUCUUUCCCUGCUGUAACUAUAACCACCUGCAAGUCAGGUUCAAUACCAGACUCGUCUCUGCUUUAAUCAGUUAGCAUCCAUUCCCUUCCGGCAACACUCAUACCCAUUUCAUACAAUUGUAGCUCAAUUCCAUUCUAGACCUUGUUCACCAUUGCCAUGAUCAGCUGCACAUUCACCAUCUCAUUCUCUAUAGUUGAUUCUGCCUUACCUGACUGUCACCACCAAUACCCACAGCCAUCUCUGGCAGCAAUAUCAAACUGCAGCACCAUCUACACUGACUCUCACAAUACUUCUGCUCUUGACUGCAAUCCCAGUUCAACAUCAAGCUUAAUACCGCCACCAACUGAUCAAACAUUCAACACACAUUCCAUUUCCAGCUCAUCCUACCAGUUCAGACUUGCAAUCUCCCAUGGACUCACUGCAACUUCACUUCCAUACCCGCUUCAGUUCGUCGCCAUACUGCAUCUCCAUUAUCUCAGGUCAUCACCAAACUCAUCAAUCGAACCCAUUUGUUAUCUCAGUACAUUCCCUCUUCAGACACAACCACAGACUCAAGCUUUCAAUAGUUGUGCUGUGAACAGAACAACCUACUUCCCUGCAAUGCACAAACUCAACACAUCUGCAAUCUCCAUAACCAGCUGCUGCAAAAAUACCAACUUCUCUUCCCUGCAACCUCAGACAACUCCCAUCUCAGUCCAUUCCUUUCUUAGCCAACUACAAACGCACAACUGCAAGGCACAGAUUCAGCUCGUUACAAUCCACCAACUUCAGACCAAUACCACAGGUUUAGCUCCAUAAUUUCUGCAGCAUUCCUUCCCUCGACAUCAGCAUUUCAAAUUCUUCUUAACGGCACCAACACUGCCUGAAUUCAACCAACAGUACCUUCAGCUUCUUAUUUUCUUUGUUACUUCUUGUAUCUUCUUUUCCCUGCAAAUGAAAUUAGAGCACUGGGAAAACCCAUCUAUGUUUUAUGCACCCAUUCCAACCUAGUAAUGAAAUAGAAGUAGAGAAAAUGACGGCAACUGCUUGUGAAGAUGAUCAUAAAAAUCCGGCACUGAAAUUGAGCUCAGCUCCCUUUUAUUGUUUCUUAAAAGAGAAUGAGUUAGGAGUGAACUCUCUCAAACUCCCCCAAACUCCCUCUAAUAAACUCUCUCAAACUCCCUACACUCCCCCAAACUCCCUGAACUCAAAAACACCAAACUCUCUCAAACUCCCUACACUCUCUCAAACUCUCUUAAAAUUACUGAGAUUUAAAAUACACUCAACUCCCCCAAAAUCACUUGAGGAUUAACCCCCUCUAAGUGUUUCGCUUGAUUUCACCCUUAGGUUUGAUUUUCGAUUCUGGGUUUGAUUGAAUCUGAUCUUGUGUGAAACCCCUUUUCUCAGUACUAGGGUUUUUGAUUUGAGAGAUCGUGAAGAGGAAUAACGCUUUCCUCAUCAAAGAGUUUGGAAAUGAAAAUCAGAUGCUUCAAACACCCUGGGUUAGCAAAUACAAAGACAGUUUUAGUUCAAGAUGGAAAAGAUUCGGGUCACUAUUAGGUUUUGUUGCAUCUCAUUGUUCACAGGCAUAUGGGUGAGAGAUGAUGAUGUUGUGGUCAAAGUUUGAGGUGACGACUCUCACGAGAGAUGCUGUUUUCAGUGUAUUGAACUUGAAUCUAGCUCUAUGGUGUUGUAAAGUGCACAAAUUUGGUUAUGUUUUUAAAAGGUAUCAGGUCCGGUCGUGGUUGCGGAUGGAAGGGCAGGGGUUGCUACGAACCCGUUUUACGAACCCACAAGCCUUUUCUCGUGGAGUUAGAACCUGGAAUUUUGGGAAAUAGUUUUGACAAAUUGGAAGCAUCAUACAGCUUAGCGAUAUUCUCCUCCGAAUUUAUAUCAUGUUUCUUUCUGAUCUGAGUUAUGUUUCAUCAUACUUUUCCAGUGAGAUAUAAAUUAUCCUAGUUUGCAGUUUGUUAUCUCUAGUUUCUGACCUAACUUGUUGAUAUUUGCUAGAAAAUAGCACCAGUCUGCAGUUUGUCAUGUUUAUAUGGUUAGAAAGUGGAUGGUGAUCACAAACAUAUCCA